This is a long non-coding RNA of Passer domesticus (house sparrow), 529 nucleotides long. RefSeq lists it as uncharacterized. The record is from RefSeq and is a predicted model, not a curated record. NCBI's taxonomy places the organism in Eukaryota, Metazoa, Chordata, Aves, Passeriformes, Passeridae. The transcript is spliced from 3 exons.
GCCCUCUCGGUUUUCCCCUGCUCAUGUUUUCCCUCUCUCCCCCUCCUCCAUGCCCAGGCCCCCGCUGUGUCUGUAUUUUCCAAGCAGUGGCACCACCUGGUUUGUUUUCUGUGUCAGGUGACACCAUAAGGGGGCAAAGGCCACGGACUGCAGUGUGGGAGCUUCAUGCUGGACAUCAGGGAAACCUUUCUUCCUGGCAAGGACAAGACUGAAGCAAGUUGCUAGUGGAGAGGAAAGGAAGGAACUCUUUAUCCCUGGAAGUUUUUAAGACUCAGCUAGAAAUAGAUCAUCUCACACAUGGCUUUUCCUCAAUGGGCACUGGCACAAACCCAGAUGGCAGAGGUGCCAGCAGUCCGUUUUCCAGACAGAAACCUAGGAGUAGGAUAUUAACCUAAUGCCUUCAACAAGGCAAGAAGCAUUUUACACACCUGUUAUGGCUGUGGUCACCCUGGAUCUUUUCCUUGUCUCCUGAGAUAUGGAGCUGAGGUACAUGGCACAGACAACAUGCAGACUUUGGUGGGCCUCUAAC